CUCGGGCAACUGAUUUCGUGCCGCAAAUUCCGAUGCCGAUUGGAUUGAGUCCCUCUACAUCAUUUACAAAGUUACCAAUAUGGAACAAAUGGUGUGGAGGCAGGCUCUAUAUAUAUAUGCUGCAGGUGAUGAACAUCCAGCGCUGUGGGUCAAACUGAACGGAUCUUGGAAGCAAACAAAGAGCUGGUUAUAUUUGUACCUUACGAGGAAAACAACAGGGCGUGUUUCCUAUGGUGUUGUGGGACACUGUUAGCUGAGCCUAGUUGGCAAAGUUAGGAAGUGCUUUUGGCUAGUUGUUGAUAAGUUACAGUUGGACCACUAAAGAAAAUUUCCUGGUAUUCUGUAAUGUUGAAACUUUUGGAAUGGAGCAAGCACCCCCAGAUUCUUCUCAACCAUUUACUCUGAUGUGUACAGACCCUUCCUAUGGACUGGUUUUGUCCACUUCAUCCAAGAACAAUCUGUGGUGUGUGUUAAUUUGUUGGUUUGUUGUACAUCCUGUCCUUAGAUUGAAAUGUUGUGAUUUGUACUAGAUUGCUAAAAAACUUUGUUCCUUUUUUCCUUCCUGAAAGAGUAAUGAUCAUAGGUUUCGUAGUCAAAGCAUGGAAAAAGGUGUCAAUGUCAUAAGGAAAUAAUACAGUUAGCUAGUUUAGUUUUUCCAAAUUAACUCCUGAAAUAGGUGUAUCUUAAUGCUGACCACAUGUUUGUGCAAAUGUGAACAGCAUAGCUGGAACCAUUAAUGUAGCAUCUGGAGGUAAUCUGUGAUGUAAUUAUCAUGUCAGGGUAUAUUCUUUUAGUUGUUGAGUUCAAGUAAGAUUUGUUGUAAUGGCAUGUGGAGGAUCCAACAUUCCAACCCCUUGGUCAUCUCAGCUAAUUAAUGCGGAUUUGAUGGUCUGUAAACUCCAAGAUAUUUGUCAAGUUUGGAUUCACUAAAAUAAGUUGCUACCUGCUAAAAAAAAAGCUCUAGUUGAUCCAAACAGCCAAGCUUAUUGUCUAGCUUAUAACUCAUUUUGAACUAUUCAAUCACUCAGCUUAUACAAAGUUAUUAGCUGUCUCCUCCAGCUGUUGAAGCUUAUAAAAAGUUUAGCUGAUCCAAAUAGGGCCUAGUCCUUCCUUGUGCUCUGAUGUCUAGCAUUUACAUCCACCAGGCUUUAUCCUUUAGCCAGUGCACUCAUUGGGUUCCCUGUCUUCUUGGGACCAUAGAACAGACUGUGUCUCCAUUAUUGUGAUUUCUGUCUGAAGUUUUAGCUGUAUACAAUCUUAUUUGAAGUUCUGUCUUGUUUUCAUUUCUUGCUGAAUCAGCCAGUCUUGUUCAGAGGGUACACACUUGAUAUCUCAUGAAGGUGGGCCCAGAUCUAGAUUACAGGCAGAGGAAACAAACCUUUUCAGUACAUUAAUCGAUUUUAAUUUCCAUUUUGUAACUAAAUAAUUAAUCUAUCAUUUACUUUUCUUAUGAUUGUGCUGCUUGGGUAGUGCUUACUUUUUGAAAGAUGCUCACUGCCCACAUCACAUGCCCAUGCAGGUUAUUAUAAUUGCUGCAAAAAAAGAGUAUUUAAGUGUGUGACAUGUGUAAGUGGUGCUUAUAUUGGUGGUAGGAUAUGCAGCUAAUCUGUAACUGAUAAUAAUGCAUCUUAUUUUGUUUAUCUUCUGCAAGAUUGAUCAGUUUUUUUUAACAUUUGGUUAUUCAGUUUUUAUUUACUACUUGUCAGUUCUGUGUUCUGAAACUUCAAUCUUGAUGUCCUGUACCCUUUCUCUUAAGAUUUUAGUUUUGACAGAAGGUAAGGUGUAUCUUUGCCUAGAGCCCUAUAUCAUAUUCUGUUCAAGUCUUCUCUCUGGAGUCUAGAACCAGAGUAUACAUGCGAAAAUCUCCUUAACUCCUUUUCCAGAAAAUAAAAGUUGUUCUGAACUUGUCUAUAUUUAGGAAACAUUAGCAGCUAAAAUUGUAAAUUUAAUAUCCGAAUUUGCCACUUUUCCAUCAUUAGGAAACUGCAUGUGUUUUUUUCCUGAAAGAGAUAGGCAUUAGACAUUCAUUAGCUAUUUGCUUGUUAUUUUUCAUGGGCCUGGUGAUAGUCACCAGGCUAACCAUAAAGUCUCUGUCUGGUUAGUUCUCCAUAUAUUGAAAUGGGUUCGAUUCCAUCUACCUGGGAUGUCAACAUUCCCCUUGCUCCUCGUUCUUUCUAGUUUCUGAUAUAUUUCUAGUUGAUUCCUUUGUAUUGCUCCUUCCCUAAUCUCUUUGCUUACAAACUUGUUUGAGUCUACUAUACGAACUGUUGAUUGAUUGUGAUUAUUUUUUACGAUUUCAUAUCAAGAAAGCUCAACUGCACUUUGCAUCGACUUGCUCAACACUAUUUUUUUUUAUAAAAAAACUCUUUAUAAUAAACUAGUAGAUUGCAAUCAGGCCAUGGACAGGCUUUUGCAUAGGCGAUUUUGUGCACACUGUAGUCUUAAUAAAUUUUGCACAGAUGGUACUACACUUUUUCAGUACUUUGGUAUCCCAAACUGGCCACUUUUCUGGACAAUUGAAACCAUCGCAGGACCAAAGUUUAGCUCUAUCCUUGUGUUGUAUUGUGUUUUCAACAUCUUUCUGUUGGAAUGUACCCUGCAUUAUCACAGGUGACCAUGUGAGGGUGGGGAGCUAUGAAGUGGCGGUCCUUGCAUGCAUGUGCAUGCAUGUGUCUAUUAUCUCCUUUCUUGUUGCAUCUUUCAAAUAGGUAUGAUGUAUCUUGCUUCUUUUUUCUUGUUGGAGACCUUUAGAGGGAGCUCACUCUCAUAAUGAGCUAGUGGCAACGUUAUUGCAAUUAUGCUCAAAUGUCACUGGGAACUGUCUCACAUGGGUAGUAUCAUUAUGACACAUAGAAGAUACUGGCUAGAUCCCAAUGGACGCUGGGUGUAGUUUGGAUUCAACUUGUUAGUUGAUGAACUACCUAUUUAGUGUUUAACCAACUGCUAAUUCCAGGUAAAGUGAAAGUUACUUCUGAAACUUAAGAUAUUGAGGGUUAAAUUCCUGUAGAGUGGUCGAUUUCUAUCUUCAAAUCAUAAGUGCAUCAGUUCCAUUCUGACUAGUUAUUUUCGGUGAGCUCUUCUUUGGCUUUAGAUUCUGUACUUUUGCUUGGUCUUAUCUAAUUCUGUUACUUAUUUGUUAUUUUGUGGCUUAUAUGAUUUGCUCUCAGAGCACUGUUGUUCCAUCAUCAGCAUUCUGGAAUUGUUUGUUUGCCCAUAAAAGGCACAAUUUUAUGUUCCCUUUAUGGUAUCAUGAUUCUAUUUGUAGACCAUUAUAUUUGAUAUAUUAUGAAUAUUCGCAGUGGCUUCUAGUAAUUCUACCUUCUGCUAUUCUGCAACCUUCUUCUGUCUAGAAAUAUAAGGCAUAUUUUGACUAUCUAAAAUUCGAGUUUGAUGAACAAAUUAAUAUAUGAAUAUAUGAGUUAUUUGACUUGAAAUUGAUAUCAUUGGGUUCAUUUUAAAUAGUACUCCUUGUGACUAAAGUAUUACUCCAUAAGAGAAAUUGUGGUCAAAGGUCACGUUUAGACAGUCAGAACUCAGAACACGCCCUAUAUUUCUGGGGGUAUGGAGUAUUUUCAUGGUUUGACAGAAAUUACAAGGUUUGAAGCUGCCGCAUAUUUGCAUAUCUUGCGAUGCUAAAGUUCUGGCUACGAGCUGUAACUUGUAUAUAACUCUUCUGUCUUUGUCAACAUAUGAACUGUCACGCGUCAAUUCACGAUGAAUGGGCACCCGAUCAUGGUUGGUCUAUCAGUAACUGUGGUUCCAUGCUCGACAGGUCCCAUUCGCAGUACAGGUUCUUCAAGGAGAUGAAGCGGAAUUUGCAAAGGUGACAGCACCGCAGAAAAAACGAACCGAUGUGGAUGAAUAUGUUGGGAGCACGGUAUAUAUAAUUGAAAUGGAGGGCUUAAUUUCAGCGAUAAGUUCCCCCACGAUAAGUUCGCCCACAGCCUCCGCAUCACUUAGCUGAUGAUGUGUUCAAAGGGGCCCGCGUUGGAAGUUAGAGCCAGCAAGUGGUGGACUUUGCUACCUCGAAGCCCCAAUAGGCCAAUAGAGAUCCUUAGCUGAUGAUGUGCCUCAGUUUACUGCACAGUGCACACCAAAUUGGAGGGUCUCGCAUCCAGUCGGCAUAGGUUUACUUUUUCCCGAACUCCAUAAACCUGUUGUCAUUUGGCCAUUGACGCUAUCUUUCCUCAGGAUGUGGAGUUAGGAGUAGGUGCUAGAUGUGUCUGAAAUCAUUAUAUAUAUAUAUACACAAGUGUUAUUCUACACCCUAGGUGUAGAAUACUAUUCUACACCAACCUAUUGUACCGAACCAAAUUCAGUAUUGUUCAAUACUUGUGUUUUAGUAUUUUUCAGUAUUUCAGGGUCCUAGGUGUAGUCAUGAAUGAUACUGAACGUUGUUCAGUACUCCUCAGUAUUUUUUCAACUCAAUUUUGACUUGUGGUGUAGAAUAAUAUUCUACACCUAACGUGUAGAGUAGCGCUACCGUAUAUAUAUACGGGAGAAGGAUGAUCUGGAGGAUGACCAAUGGUAAAUUUGGAUGCAGUUAUGCAGAACAGUGGCCGUGAGUGGGUCGGCAACUCUAGGAGUAGGAAGGGAUUAUGCCAUAUCUCCUGGUGGGGGGGAGCCCUCCCUGAAAACGACCCCCACCGGCCGUAUCUCAUCGUUGCAGUUGAAGUUGCAGGUGCGGCUUGGCGGUUCUUCUCCUGAUUUGGAUUCGCCCAAAGGCCAGAGGGGAGAAGGAAGGCAGGCGCAGCAGGCAGCAAUAGACAAUAGUGGAGGUGGCACUGGCGGGUGGUCGGUGUGCCUUCAGGUGGCGCCUCCAUGCUUCGCCUCGCGAGGAUCACGAUUCACAAGUGCGGCUGUGAGAGGGUUGGCACGAAACAAUGGCGCCAGCUUAGCGUAGUACUACGUACUGCCAGCGGCAUAUCGGGACCCAUAACCUCAAUGAUCAAUUGUCCAUGUCUGGAAGUUGUUGGGUCUGGGAGUUGGAUUAGUGAUUUGUUUAUACUUGUUUAAUGCAGGGAACGCUUGCACGUGUGUUCUCCACAAAGGUUGCUGCUAAUUAGUACAUGUUCAUACUACAGGAUGGCUUUAUAUGGUCCACAUCAUGGGCUCGGCACUUGCAAAAA
Sorghum bicolor (sorghum) is the source of this 5129-nucleotide long non-coding RNA. RefSeq lists it as uncharacterized. The transcript has 3 exons. NCBI's taxonomy places the organism in Eukaryota, Viridiplantae, Streptophyta, Magnoliopsida, Poales, Poaceae. The record is from RefSeq and is a predicted model, not a curated record.